GAGUUUGAUCAUGGCUCAGAACGUACGCUGGCGGCACGCCUAACACAUGCAAGUCGAACGAAGUAGCAAUACUUAGUGGCAGACGGGUGAGUAACAUGUAGGUAUCUGCCCUUUGGCCUGGAAUAACACGAGGAAACUUGUGCUAAUACCGGAUAAGUCUUUACGGAGAAAGCUUUAUGCACCAUUGGAUGAGCCUGCACUUGAUUAGUUUGUUGGUGGGGUAAUGGCCUACCAAGACUGUGAUCAAUAGCUGAUUUGAGAGGAUGAUCAGCCACAUUGGGACAGAGACACGGCCCAAACUCCUACGGGAGGCAGCAGUGGGGAAUCUUGCACAAUGGAGGAAACUCUGAUGCAGCGAUGCCGCGUGAGUGAAGAAGGCCCUUGGGUUGUAAAGCUCUUUCGUCGGGGAAGAAAAUGACUGUACCCGAAUAAGAAGGUCCGGCUAACUUCGUGCCAGCAGCCGCGGUAAUACGAAGGGACCUAGCGUAGUUCGGAAUUACUGGGCUUAAAGAGUUCGUAGGUGGUUGAAAAAGUUAGUGGUGAAAUCCCAGAGCUUAACUCUGGAACUGCCAUUAAAACUUUUCAGCUAGAGUAUGAUAGAGGAAAGCAGAAUUUCUAGUGUAGAGGUGAAAUUCGUAGAUAUUAGAAAGAAUACCAAUUGCGAAGGCAGCUUUCUGGAUCGUUACUGACACUGAGGAACGAAAGCAUGGGUAGCGAAGAGGAUUAGAUACCCUCGUAGUCCAUGCCGUAAACGAUGUGUGUUAGACGUUGGAAAUUUAUUUUCAGUGUCGCAGGGAAACCGAUAAACACACCGCCUGGGGAGUACGACCGCAAGGUUAAAACUCAAAUGAAUUGACGGGGACCCGCACAAGUAGUGGAGCAUGUGGUUUAAUUCGAAGAUACGCGCAGAACCUUAUCAACACUUGACAUGUUCGUCGCGACUCUAAGAGAUUAGAGUUUUCGGUUCGGCCGGACGAAACACAGGUGCUGCAUGGCUGUCGUCAGCUCGUGUUGUGAGAUGUUGGGUUAAGUCCCGCAACGAGCGCAACCCUCACUUUUAGUUGCCAUCAUUAAGUUGGGCACUCUGAAAGAACUGCCAGUGAUAAGCUGGAGGAAGGUGGGGAUGACGUCAAGUCCUCAUGGCCCUUAUGUGUUGGGCUACACACGUGCUACAAUGGUAUCUACAACAGGAAGCAAGACUGCGAAGUUAAGCAAAUCCCUAAAAGAUACCUCAGUUCGGAUUGCACUCUGCAACUCGAGUGCAUGAAGCUGGAAUUACUAGUAAUCGUGGAUCAGCGUGCCACGGUGAAUGCGUUCCCGGGUCUUGUACACACCGCCCGUCACACCAUGGGAGUUGGUUCUACCUUAAGGCAAGGUUUCAAACCCUUGACCACGGUAUAGUCAGCGACUGGGGUGAAGUCGUAACAAGGUAACC
Molecule: ribosomal RNA, 1435 nt
Filed under: uncultured marine bacterium
Lineage: Bacteria
Description: bacterial SSU rRNA
Rfam family: Bacterial small subunit ribosomal RNA
Source: RNAcentral